This is a long non-coding RNA of Lepisosteus oculatus (spotted gar), 1990 nucleotides long. The record is from Ensembl. Lineage: Eukaryota; Metazoa; Chordata; Actinopteri; Semionotiformes; Lepisosteidae.
CGGUGAGCUUUUUCUCCAGUUACCCGCUGGUGUGUGAGAUCAUCAGGAGGCCUGGCCAGUCAUGCUGCAGAAGCCAGGGCAGGCCGCCGCAGCGGGCGCGCACCCCGAAGAGGGACUGUGGGCAAUGUGGUCGUGGGCCUGGCUACGGACGACUCCUCUCGGACCCCCGGCCCCGGCCCCGCCUGCCUGGCACCCGCACUCCCGGGCAUCAGCUGCGCACAGCAAGACAUCUCCGGGGAGCGCCCCUCUGAGCAAACAGAUCAGGAGGGGCAGCGAGGGAAAGACACACUCUGGUUGUAAGUCGAUCUCUUUCGGAGCCUGUAAUAGGAUCAAUGUGGAACUAUUAAGCAUUUAUGGUCCGCUCAUGAUUUAUUCACUACUGUGGAUAUCUCACCAGCUCUUUCUUACACCUGCGGUCAACACACCGAGAGCAGCCUUCGUGACCGUUAAGUACGGGAUUUCAGAGCCACCAGCCCCGAUAAACUGCCUGAUCGAAACCUGCGGCAAUGCUGCGAGGAUUUCGGCAAACAAAGAUUUGAUACCAAAGAUCAGUACCAAUACGUAGAAAUAGCAUAUAACUGCACAGAGCACAGUGAUGAAAAGAACUGCAUCAAAGCCAAAUGUUUUCAAGUGCAAUACUGUAUAUGCUUCAGCAGCUGGAUUAGACGUUCACUCACGUUACCUUAUAUAAAAUAACAUACCAGAGAGCAAGAGUUCUUCUGUGGGGAAAGAUAAUAGCUUGAUUUUACUUUAACACUUCCAUGUGCAUAUUGUGACUGAGAAAAGUAAACGCACAUUUUUCUGACAGAACCUGAAGAAUGCCUUAUUUUGGCUUGAAGAUUGGUCCAAUAAAGAGUUUUUACAAUGAAAUUAUAUAGUUUCAAAUUCAGGUAAGCUAAGGCAUUAUUUCUCAAAUCUUAUUUUUUCUCUGUUUAAACCCAACACCAGAACAGCAUUUUCUCUUGACUAAUUAGUUGAUUCACCCAAUUAGUCAGAAUGAUGUAUUAAUUAUACUAAUUCAAUCAUUUCAGGACGUGCCGUGACUCAAAAAGGUUUAUACAGUACAAGUGGGCAACACCUGAAACACCUUCACUGAUUUAUUUUCGGAAAACCAAAAUGACUAUGGCCCUCAUACCUUGUAUUUUAUAGUUUUAUUGUUAGUAGCAUUUUUACAGUCGAAGCUGCUGGAGUUUCAUGUUUCAGAGCAAAAGUAAGUCUCUCCAGCUGAACUCUUCCGAGAGUCCGUUCUUCCCUCCUGCCUCGCUACAUUGGUCAUUCGCUUACGUACGGGCCAUCAGUUUAUUCUUAAAGGUUAAGGUCCAGUGCUCUAAUCACGAACAACCCCCGCUACAGUGUCCAUUUUUAGACGACCUUCCUCUACAAACAAUACAACGGGCGUCUGACUGAAAUGAAGUACUGUAUAGGCAGUUCACGUGUUCCGUGGGAGUUCCUGUUCAAAUAUUUCUUCAUAUCAGGUAGACCUGCCAUCGGGACUUACUGUAGCCUAGCUAUUCUCAGUUUGGUGAGAGUAACUCCAGUCACGAACAUGAUUUCUGGAAUGUGAAGGAAUACACUGUACGCGAGCGAAUAUAGGACUUCCAGAGGCAAUCAUUCAAUCUGAUUGGACAGAAAUACACCCCUGCAAUCCCUGAGGACUCCUCACUCUGCUCUUCCUGAACAGGUUGGAAAACCACAAGAAGCAGAGGCAGAUGUGCUUCAUUCCGUGUUACUUUUCAUUUUUAUGAUACAGCUGCAUCGUUGCCCAUCUUGCUAAAUUCGGCGCUGAAAAAAAAUACUUUGAUGUGGUAGUAAACUCUGAUGUAACCGUGUCACUCUCACCGGAAGGUCAUUUUUGAUCCAGAGGGGUGUUGUUUUUUUUUUUGGUCUCUAAUCAAUUCAGGUGGACAGAAAAAAAGAGCAAGGGCUCCAUCUGUCUGUUCUUUCCGAUUUUCUCUUAGCCUAUGCGCAAAUCGGCACUCUCUCUCCCUCC